UACAGAGGUGGCAAGCGUUGUUCGGAAUUACUGGGCGUAAAGGGUGCGUAGGCGGCUUUCUAAGUUGGAUGUGAAAACUAUGGGCUCAACCCAUAGCCUGCAUCCAAAACUGGAGAGCUUGGGUUCUGGAGGGGAAAGCGGAAUUCCUGGUGUAGCGGUGGAAUGCGCAGAUAUCAGGAGGAACACCGGUGGCGAAGGCGGGUCGCGGGGCAGUAACUGACGCUGAGGAGCGAAAGCGUGGGGAGCAAACAGG
RNAcentral lists this ribosomal RNA (253 nucleotides) under uncultured bacterium. RNAcentral describes it as "partial 16S ribosomal RNA". It matches the Rfam family "Bacterial small subunit ribosomal RNA", at positions 524 to 776 of the family's 1533-position model. The record is from RNAcentral.